Molecule: ribosomal RNA, 612 nt
Filed under: Salvelinus alpinus (Arctic char)
Lineage: Eukaryota; Metazoa; Chordata; Actinopteri; Salmoniformes; Salmonidae
Description: partial 16S ribosomal RNA
Rfam family: Bacterial large subunit ribosomal RNA
Source: RNAcentral
CUGUUUACCAAAAACAUCGCCUCUUGCAAAUCAAAGCAUAAGAGGUCCCGCCUGCCCUGUGACUAUGGGUUUAACGGCCGCGGUAUUUUGACCGUGCGAAGGUAGCGCAAUCACUUGUCUUUUAAAUGAAGACCUGUAUGAAUGGCAUCACGAGGGCUUAGCUGUCUCCUCUCCCAAGUCAAUGAAAUUGAUCUGCCCGUGCAGAAGCGGGCAUAAGUACAUAAGACGAGAAGACCCUAUGGAGCUUUAGACACCAGGCAGAUCACGUCAAGUAAACUUAAAUUAACAAGUAAAAACGCAGUGACCCCUAGCCCAUAUGUCUUUGGUUGGGGCGACCGCGGGGGAAAAUAAAGCCCCCAUGUGGACUGGGGGCACUGCCCCCACAGCCGAGAGCUACAGCUCUAAGCACCAGAAUUUUUGACCAAAAAUGAUCCGGCGAACGCCGAUCAACGGACCGAGUUACCCUAGGGAUAACAGCGCAAUCCUCUCCCAGAGUCCCUAUCGACGAGGGGGUUUACGACCUCGAUGUUGGAUCAGGACAUCCUAAUGGUGCAGCCGCUAUUAAGGGUUCGUUUGUUCAACGAUUAAAGUCCUACGUGAUCUGAGUUCAGA